This is a non-coding RNA of Pelobates cultripes (western spadefoot toad), 96 nucleotides long. Lineage: Eukaryota; Metazoa; Chordata; Amphibia; Anura; Pelobatidae. The record is from the annotation of a GenBank genome assembly.
CUGCUGCUACAUAUAUAGGGCUUCACAUAAAAUGAUAUUUGAUAUUGAUAAUGAUAUUUUAUGUGAAGCCCUAUAUAUGUAGCAGCAGGUUCACUG